This 2902-nucleotide ribosomal RNA is filed under the name Klebsiella pneumoniae. Its description in RNAcentral is "LSU rRNA". It matches the Rfam family "Bacterial large subunit ribosomal RNA". The record is from RNAcentral. Lineage: Bacteria; Pseudomonadati; Pseudomonadota; Gammaproteobacteria; Enterobacterales; Enterobacteriaceae.
GGUUAAGCGACUAAGCGUACACGGUGGAUGCCCUGGCAGUCAGAGGCGAUGAAGGACGUGCUAAUCUGCGAAAAGCGUCGGUAAGGUGAUAUGAACCGUUAUAACCGGCGAUGUCCGAAUGGGGAAACCCAGUGCAAUUCGUUGCACUAUCGUUAACUGAAUACAUAGGUUAACGAGGCGAACCGGGGGAACUGAAACAUCUAAGUACCCCGAGGAAAAGAAAUCAACCGAGAUUCCCCCAGUAGCGGCGAGCGAACGGGGAGCAGCCCAGAGUCUGAAUCAGCUUGUGUGUUAGUGGAACGGUCUGGAAAGUCCGACGGUACAGGGUGAUAGUCCCGUACACCAAAAUGCACAGGUUGUGAACUCGAAGAGUAGGGCGGGACACGUGGUAUCCUGUCUGAAUAUGGGGGGACCAUCCUCCAAGGCUAAAUACUCCUGACUGACCGAUAGUGAACCAGUACCGUGAGGGAAAGGCGAAAAGAACCCCGGCGAGGGGAGUGAAAAAGAACCUGAAACCGUGUACGUACAAGCAGUGGGAGCACCUUCGGGUGUGACUGCGUACCUUUUGUAUAAUGGGUCAGCGACUUAUAUUCUGUAGCAAGGUUAACCGUAUAGGGGAGCCGCAGGGAAACCGAGUCUUAACUGGGCGUUAAGUUGCAGGGUAUAGACCCGAAACCCGGUGAUCUAGCCAUGGGCAGGUUGAAGGUUGGGUAACACUAACUGGAGGACCGAACCGACUAAUGUUGAAAAAUUAGCGGAUGACUUGUGGCUGGGGGUGAAAGGCCAAUCAAACCGGGAGAUAGCUGGUUCUCCCCGAAAGCUAUUUAGGUAGCGCCUCGUGAACUCAUCUUCGGGGGUAGAGCACUGUUUCGGCUAGGGGGUCAUCCCGACUUACCAACCCGAUGCAAACUACGAAUACCGAAGAAUGUUAUCACGGGAGACACACGGCGGGUGCUAACGUCCGUCGUGAAGAGGGAAACAACCCAGACCGCCAGCUAAGGUCCCAAAGUCAUGGUUAAGUGGGAAACGAUGUGGGAAGGCACAGACAGCCAGGAUGUUGGCUUAGAAGCAGCCAUCAUUUAAAGAAAGCGUAAUAGCUCACUGGUCGAGUCGGCCUGCGCGGAAGAUGUAACGGGGCUAAACCAUGCACCGAAGCUGCGGCAGCGACACUAUGUGUUGUUGGGUAGGGGAGCGUUCUGUAAGCCUGCGAAGGUGUGCUGUGAGGCAUGCUGGAGGUAUCAGAAGUGCGAAUGCUGACAUAAGUAACGAUAAAGCGGGUGAAAAGCCCGCUCGCCGGAAGACCAAGGGUUCCUGUCCAACGUUAAUCGGGGCAGGGUGAGUCGACCCCUAAGGCGAGGCCGAAAGGCGUAGUCGAUGGGAAACAGGUUAAUAUUCCUGUACUUGGUGUUACUGCGAAGGGGGGACGGAGAAGGCUAUGUUAGCCGGGCGACGGUUGUCCCGGUUUAAGCAUGUAGGCUGGUUGUCCAGGCAAAUCCGGAUAAUCAAGGCUGAGGUGUGAUGACGAGGCACUACGGUGCUGAAGUAACAAAUGCCCUGCUUCCAGGAAAAGCCUCUAAGCAUCAGGUAACAUUAAAUCGUACCCCAAACCGACACAGGUGGUCAGGUAGAGAAUACCAAGGCGCUUGAGAGAACUCGGGUGAAGGAACUAGGCAAAAUGGUGCCGUAACUUCGGGAGAAGGCACGCUGGUGUGUAGGUGAAGCCCCUGCGGGUGGAGCUGAGACCAGUCGAAGAUACCAGCUGGCUGCAACUGUUUAUUAAAAACACAGCACUGUGCAAACACGAAAGUGGACGUAUACGGUGUGACGCCUGCCCGGUGCCGGAAGGUUAAUUGAUGGGGUUAUCCGUAAGGAGAAGCUCUUGAUCGAAGCCCCGGUAAACGGCGGCCGUAACUAUAACGGUCCUAAGGUAGCGAAAUUCCUUGUCGGGUAAGUUCCGACCUGCACGAAUGGCGUAAUGAUGGCCAGGCUGUCUCCACCCGAGACUCAGUGAAAUUGAACUCGCUGUGAAGAUGCAGUGUACCCGCGGCAAGACGGAAAGACCCCGUGAACCUUUACUAUAGCUUGACACUGAACAUUGAGCCUUGAUGUGUAGGAUAGGUGGGAGGCUUUGAAGCGUGGACGCCAGUCUGCGUGGAGCCAACCUUGAAAUACCACCCUUUAAUGUUUGAUGUUCUAACGUUGGCCCCUUACCGGGGUUGCGGACAGUGUCUGGUGGGUAGUUUGACUGGGGCGGUCUCCUCCCAAAGCGUAACGGAGGAGCACGAAGGUUAGCUAAUCCUGGUCGGACAUCAGGAGGUUAGUGCAAUGGCAUAAGCUAGCUUGACUGCGAGCGUGACGGCGCGAGCAGGUGCGAAAGCAGGUCAUAGUGAUCCGGUGGUUCUGAAUGGAAGGGCCAUCGCUCAACGGAUAAAAGGUACUCCGGGGAUAACAGGCUGAUACCGCCCAAGAGUUCAUAUCGACGGCGGUGUUUGGCACCUCGAUGUCGGCUCAUCACAUCCUGGGGCUGAAGUAGGUCCCAAGGGUAUGGCUGUUCGCCAUUUAAAGUGGUACGCGAGCUGGGUUUAGAACGUCGUGAGACAGUUCGGUCCCUAUCUGCCGUGGGCGCUGGAGAAUUGAGGGGGGCUGCUCCUAGUACGAGAGGACCGGAGUGGACGCAUCACUGGUGUUCGGGUUGUCAUGCCAAUGGCACUGCCCGGUAGCUAAAUGCGGAAGAGAUAAGUGCUGAAAGCAUCUAAGCACGAAACUUGCCCCGAGAUGAGUUCUCCCUGAGACUUUAAGUCUCCUGAAGGAACGUUAAAGACGAUGACGUUGAUAGGCCGGGUGUGUAAGCGCAGCGAUGCGUUGAGCUAACCGGUACUAAUGAACCGUGAGGCUUAACCUU